Molecule: long non-coding RNA, 7760 nt
Filed under: Brassica rapa (field mustard)
Lineage: Eukaryota; Viridiplantae; Streptophyta; Magnoliopsida; Brassicales; Brassicaceae
Description: long non-coding RNA (BRAP_LNC006452)
Source: RNAcentral
AUGGACCUCCUAUCUCUGCAGCCUCCGACCUAAGGGUUAGUGAUCUCCUCUUCCUAGAAACUAACGAGUGGAAUAUAGACAUAAUGAGGCUUCACCUACCUCACCAUGACGACCAAAUUCAUCAAGUAAUUCCAACCUCUUUCCGCUCACCAGCCAAACUGAUCUGGCUGGCUGAUAAAGUGGGUGCUUAUACCACCAAAUCAGGCUACAAACUAGCACCUUUUGCUACGCCGAAUCUAGCAGCACAUGCGAUAAAUUGGAACAAGUGUGUCUAGAAAAUCCCCACUUCACCCAAUAUCUAACACUUUCUUUGGAGGAUUCUAAACGAGGCGCUCCCUAUAGGAAACUUGCUUGCUAUUCGAGGACUUACUGAGCAUAUCCAUUGCAAGAGAUGCGGAGAAAUGGAAACUAUGAAUCAUCUGUUUUCAGAGUGUUAUUUCCCUCCAAAGAGGUUUGGCUUCAAGCUCCUCUGUCUUUCACAGACCGCCAACAGGCUGGUACCCAAAACAUUCAAAACAUGUUAGCAAGGAUCCCAUAUGACAUCAACCUGCCAGCUUUUACUCUGGUCUCAACUCCGCUGAUCCCUUGGUUCCUUUGGACGCUAUGGACGGCCAGGAACUUACUUCUUUGAAGACAAAUCCAUCUCAGUCCAAAACUGUAUCAGAAAGGCAGUCCUAGCUGCAAAAGGAUGGGAGGAGGCCCUCCAACCAGUUCCAAAUCUUGCCUCUUCGCCAACUCCUCUUAUGGCUGGUGAUAAUUUACGAUUUCCAUCCUCUCUCCGGUGCAUUAGUGCUAGUAUGAUCGCACCCGGAGAGAGGAUCCAUCUGUAGCGGAUACAUGCCAAUUGUUUACGAUAUAUUUGAAUAUCCGGAGAGAGGAUCCAUCCGUAGGCUGUACCUCUUCUUAGAGAUUUGUUUGGGUUAUUUUAUAGGUCUUGGAUAUUAUAUGUUAAUUAUUUUUUUAAAAAAGAAAAUGGUUUAUCGGGGGAAUUUUUAGAUGAUUAAAAAUUGUCAAAAUUACACAUGGUCUAACGCCACAAGUCACACCACAUGCAUGCAUUAUUUCAUUUGAUGUAUCCCUCGUAUAUCAAUUGAGAAGCAUUACAACAUAUUUUGGUAAUCACAUGUUAUCAUUAGGAUGAUUUUUAGAAUUUUUAGAGAAAUAAGUUGGUCCAUCUAAAUAUUUAAUAAACAUUUUAUUAAACUAACCAUAAAUUCAGUGUUAAAUUUGUUAUUUCUUUGAAUAAAAUUACAGAAUUGCCUAAUGUGCCUAAAGUAUAUAUGACAAUUAAUGAUUUUCAAUAAUCAAAAUUUGAUAAAAUUAAUGUAACUUCUAUCAUAUUUGUUUGAUUUUAAAAUAUUAAAAUAAAUUAACAUUAGUCAUAUAAUAAAAUUAAGAUUUUUCUCUAUAUGUUAUAGUUUGAUUUUUUUUUAAAACGACUAUAAAUUACUGAAACUGUUAAAAAUCUCAAAUUCAAAUUUUGUAAUCCAUAGUUUAAAAUUUUUGUUAUGACAAGAUGCGAAUAAUUAUAAAAUCAUAUACGUCGAAAGUCUCAUUUAAUAACUAUUAAGAUUAAAAGAUAUAUCGUUUUAAAUUAAACUACAUACCAUAUAAAAAUACAUAAAUAUUUUAAGGGAGAAUUUGCGAAAUGACUAAGUUUGCAAAGAAAAUUAAAUGCAUGUCAUUGAUUUUGACAUAAUUAGAAAAAUAACAAUUAUGUUUCUAUUCGUCCGGUUUUAACUCUCUCUUGUACAAAUAGCAGGCAGAAGAGAGAUGUAUAUAUAGCAUAGAUAAAAUGAGGUAUGGCUAAUAUUUUAGCAAAAUGUUUACAUUUGAGAGAAUAUGAAGAAGCCAUAUCACAUUAAUAAUAACCACAUACAAUUUACGGCUGUGUUAUUCUAUUUAGACGAAAUAGUAUAGGACACCAAUCUGACAUCUAACCACUACGUAUUAGACCCUCCCACAUCAGCUAAAUAGUAUACCUAAACGAUUAUUAUAUUCCCCUAAUUAUAAAAGCUAAACCCUAAUCAAUAGAAUAUAAGCUCAAACAUAAUGAAGAAUCUAACAUGUGUACCUAAAGUGAGCCGGUUAUACCCUUCUCAUUUGCGGUUACCCGGUAAACAUGACAUAUCACACAUAAUAUAUGGUCAAAAAUGAAGGAAGAAAGAGACAUCCAUGUUACACGUUAAAAUCGUUAAUUAACCAUAUACAUAUGCAUUGAGCGUUUUAUUCCAUAUACCGAAGUAGUAUAGGAGGAUUAAACUACACCAACAAUCUUUAAAUACUAAAUACUAAACACUAAUCCAAUCUGAAUUUUCUAUACCAUAUCAUUAAAGUAGUACUAGAUUUUUUAACCGCGCUACGCGCGGAUAAGAUAUUAUAUGUAUUUCUCAAUUCUAAAAAAUAAUGUAUAAUAUUGUAUUAUAUUAUUUAAAGAAUAGAAAAUAAGACUACAUAACAUAAAUAUAUUUUUUAUAUUUUCUUUGUGGAAAUCAUUAUGUUGUUUGAUUGUUGUACUUAAUUCACAUAUUUGCAUAGAUAUUUGUGAUAGAUGAAUAACUAUAUUUUUAUUAUCAGUAAAUAAUAUAUAUUUAUUAUAUAAUAUAAGAAAAAUGAAAUUAUUUACUUUUUAAUAAACUUGUCUCAUGUUGGGGACUCGGUUAUAGACAUAUCAUAUUCGAAUGAAACAUUUUUACACUUAUCAAUGUUCUUAACAAUCAAUAAACAAAUCUGAAUAUUAAAACAAUAUCUCAUACGAUCUCUUUGUGGAAUAACUGCUUUGAAGAAAUUUAAUUUAUGCAUCAAAAAGGACUGGAAAUGGAUAUGCAUAUGAGUUAUCUAAGUCAGCUUUACAAAAAACUAUUUAUAGUUCAUAUAUCAUUUAUGUCCAUCCUAUUUUUUUGUCCAUCAUUUCUUAAACAUCUUGAAAUAAGUAAUGCUAAUUAAUAAUAAACUUUUUGCUCACAAAAUAAAAAUCAAAUUUGUUUAAUUAUCGCUUAAUUUGUCUAAGUGAUAUAUGUAUUUCUCAAUUCUAAAAAAAUAAUGUAUAAUAUUGUAUUACAUUAUUUAAAAAAUAUAAAAUAUGACUACAUAACAUAAAUAUAUUUUUUAAAUUUUCUUUGUGGAAAUCAUUAUGUUGUUUGAUUGUUGUACUUGAUUCACAUAUUUGCAUAGAUAUUUGUGAUAGAUGAAUAACUAUAUAUUUAUUAUCAGUAAAUAAUAUAUAUUGAUUAUAUAAUAUAAGAAAAAUAAAAUUAUUUACUUUUUAAACAAACUUGUCUCAUGUUGGAGACUCGGUUAUAGACAUAUCAUAUACGAAUGAGACAUUUUUACAGUUAUCAAUCUUCUUAACAUUGAAAAAACAAAUCUACAUAUCAAAACAAUAUCUCAUACGAUCUAUUUGUGGAAUAACUACUCUGAAGAAAUUGAAUUUAGGCAUAAAAAGGACUGAAAAUGGAUGUGCAGAUAUGUUAUCUAAGUCUGCUUCACAAAGUACUAUUCAUAGUUCAUAUAUCAUUAAUGUCCAUCCUAUUUUUUUGUCCACCAUUUCUUAAACAUCUUGAAAUAACUGAUGCUAAUUAAUAAUAAACUUUUGCUGGAAAAAAAAUCAAAUUUGUCUAAUUAUCGCUUAAAUAUUUUAUUAAUAUGGUCAAAGAAGCUUUUAAGUGAUAUCAUAGUUUAAUUUAUUAGUUUUUUUGUUAAUUUUUAGAGGUUUUUGUAUUUAAGAUUUUUUUCCAUAUUAAGCUUCUAUUUCUUUCACAGAAUUGAUAUAUAUAUAUAUAUAUAUCAUAAAAAUUACCAUCAAAUCAGUUUUACUUAUUUAUUAUUUUGUUUUAACGAAAAUACACUUUUUAAAUAAUUUAAUUUAAAAUAAAAUUAUAUAUUAAUUUGCUUUAUUUUAACAAUUUCAUUGAUUUAAUUAAUUUGCUUUGGUGGAUAACUUAAAAAGUUUUCAUAUGAAUCGGGGAAAGCAAGUUUAUGUUGUUAUAUUAUAUUUAUUUUGUGUAUAUAGAAUCUAUAUAUAAUGCUAGUGUAAUAAAGAAAGAACAUUAUUUUUUUGUAACUUCAAAAAUAUACAUUAUUACAAUUUAAAAUGAAUCAAAAUUGAAUAAAAUGGUAAUUAAAUAUUUGUAAAUCUAAUUGUUUAGUUGGAUUCUCAUGAAAAAAAAAUCGAUUGGUUAAACAAAUGUUUCAAAAUUUGUUGUGGUAUUGUUUUGUCUAUAAAUUAUAAAAUUUAUUGAAUUAAUAUAUUUAAUUAUUGCAUCCUUAAAUAAUAUUUUAUUAAGACAUUAUAAAAAUAUGUUUUGAGUUGUUUUGUGAAAUUGUACAAAAAUCUAUGUUUUUUCAUAUUUGUAACUUCAAAAAGAUACAUUAUGAUAAUUUGAAAUUAAUCAAAAUUGAAUAAAAUGGUAAUUAAAUAUUUGUUAAAUCUAAUUAUUAUUUUUAUCUUGUUUAGUUGGAUUCUCAUGAAAAAAAAUUGAUAGGUUAAACAAAUGUUUCAAAAUUUAUUGUGUUAUUGUUUUGUCUAUAAAUUACAAAAUUUAUUGAAUUAAUAUAUUUAAUUAUUGCACCCUUAAAUAAUAUUUUAUUAAGACAUUAGAGAAGUAUGUUAUGAGUUGUUUUGUCAAAAUUUUACAAAAAUCUAUGUUUUUUCAUAUUUGGCACGAAAAUUUAUAUGUUAAACUUACUUUUACAAAAUUCUUAACUUUGUCACGAAAACAAAAAUCUAUGUUUUUUUCAUAUUUGUCAACGUUCUCACACUUUCUAAGAAUAUAUUAGCUUAGUCACUUACUUAUUUUUUUUUACAAAACAAAGUAUCGGAGUCUUGAAAGUUGAAUUCAUAUUAUUGUAAAUGUACAUAAGAAUUUGUGAUUAUAUACUUAGUGGUUCUUGUAUAUGUGUCCAAGAAAGUUUCAAUGGCUUAGUGGUAACUGUUGUGAUUAUAUACUUAGUGGUUCUUGUAUAUGUGUCCAAGAAAGUUUCAAUGGCUUAGUGGUAACUGUCCUAUAUAUAUAUAUAUAUAUAUCAUACUAACCCGGGUUCGAUUCUCACCUUCGCAUUGUUUUUUUAUUUUUUACGAAAAAUAAAUGAGAUGACAUGGCAAUUUCGGAUUCUCUGAUUGGUUGAUUUUUCUAUCCUAUGUGGACACUCUCUCCAUGGCUUAUAUCCCCUUUUAGUAUAGUAUAGAUAUGACUCCAAACCCACUCACAACUCGUAAAUACUAAAAUUUACUCCAAACCCUUGUUCCUAAAUACUAAACCCUAAACCCUAAACCUCACGCUUCCCUCUAAAUACUAAACCCUAAAUAUUAAUUACUAAACCCUAAACUGAAAUAUAAAUCCUAAACCCAAAUAUAAACCCUAAAACCCAAUUAUCAAAAUAUAAACCCUAAACAUUAAUUGUAUACUAGAAAUUGGAAAAGAAUUAAUUUGUCAAACAAUCGAUGGUGAUAGUAAUACCAACCGUAAAAGUGUAGGUGAUUGAGUCGGAGUAACAUGAAGUAUAUAUGUUUGUCAAUAUCCCUGAAAAGUAGAGAUGUAAGUAUUAUUCUAUUUCUUGCGAAUGGUACAAAAAUACAAGAACUGAUUCAUACUAUUUAGUUUGGUAAUUUGAUGUGUUCUACCAUUAAUCAAGAAAAUAGUACUAAUAUACAACCAUUAAAUGUUGCGCAAAAAAAUGCAACCAUUAAACAUAAUAGAACAUGAAACUAGCUUAUUAUUGAUUGAUGAACACGACAAAAAAGAGAAAUGUCGAAAUUGAAGAUCACAACAUAUUGUUCAUUUUCACAGAAAUAGUAUAGAAAUACAAGAGUGAGAAGAUACUAUAUCUAAUUUUGUCAAUGAAAAUUUUGUUAUAAAUGACAUUUACGUUUUGCUAUAAAAGAUACUAAUGAUCAAAAAACAUAUAUAUGAGUAAAAAUCAUUAUUUAACAAAUAUUAAUACUAAAAAUAUACUACAUAUGUUAAUAUUUUUAAAUUUAAUUAUAUACCAUAUUAAGUAGAAAAAAAUUGUUUGGAUUAAUAAAAUUUAUUUACAUAUUUGCACCAAUUUAACUGUAUACGUAAAAGUUACUGAUUUUUUAAUUAUUCAAUAUAUAUUUAUUAUUUAGUAAUAUGUAAAAUAAAUAAAACAUAAAAUAAUUUUUAUAUAUAAUGUUCAUUCCGUGCAAGGCGCAUGUCUUAACCUAAUGUAUAUAUUAUAUGAAUAUGAUAUAUACAAAUGAUGUAUAUCAGUAGAUAUACGCAUUGCUGACAAGGUUCUUCGUGUUAUUAUUACUGACUUAUAUUAUUACUUGUCAAUUUUGAAUGUUUUUCCUUAAAAAUAUGGUUCUUGGAUUGUUAUUGAGUCAAUUAUAAAUUUAUUUUCUUCAAUAAAAUUUAAUUAGCUAUUUAAGUGAUUAUUUGUAAAAAUUGAUUUGGUUAUCAAUAUCACUAAAAUACAUUUAUAUUUCUAAUAUGUUUUUUAGAAAAUACAUUUAUAAUGGAUGAUUUAUCAAAAAAAAUGAUUUUUCGUUACUGUAUAAGUGAGACAUAAUACGGAAAAUGAUUUGAUGAUCACAAAAUCAAUUAUAAAGUUUUAAAUUCCGUCCCUAUGGACCUCCUAUCUCUGCAGCCUCCGACCUAAGGGUUAGUGAUCUCCUCUUCCUAGAAACUAACGAGUGGAAUAUACACAUAAUCAGGCUUCACCUACCUCACCAUGAGGACCAAAUUCUUCAAGUGAUUCCGAGCUCUUUCCGCCCACCAGCCAAACUGAUCUGGCUGGCUGAUAAAGUGGGUGCUUAUACCACCAAAUCAGGCUACAAACUAGCACCUUUGGUUACGCCAAAUCUAGCAGCACAUGCGAUAAAUUGGAACAAGUGUGUCUAGAAAAUCCCCACUUCACCAAGAUCUAACACUUUCUUUGGAGGAUUCUAAACGAGGCGCUCCCUAUAGGAAACUUGCUUGCUAUUCGAGGACUUACUGAGCAUAUCCAUUGCAAGAGAUGCGGAGAAAUGGAAACUAUGAAUCAUCUGUUUUCAGAGUGUUAUUUCCCUCCAAAGAGGUUUGGCUUCAAGCUCCUCUGUCUUUCACAGACGGCCAACAGGCUGGUACCCAAAACAUUCAAAACAUGUUAGCAAGGAUCCAAUAUGACAUCAACCUGCCAGCUUUUACUCUGGUCUCAACUCCGCUGAUCCCUUGGUUCCUUUGGACGCUAUGGACGGCCAGGAACUUACUUCUUUGAAGACAAAUCCAUCUCAGUCCAAAACUGUAUCACAAAGGCAGUCCUAGCUGCAAAAGGAUGGGAGGAGGCCCUCCAACCAGUUCCAAAUCUUGCCUCUACGCCAACUCCUCUUAUGGCGGGUUGAUAAUUUACGAUUUCCAAAUUGCUUUGUCGAUGGAGCUUGGCAAGAAUCAUCUUUGCUUGCAGGUAUGGGAUGGACCUAAACAUGCUCAGCAACUGCUCCCACCAUAAAAGACUCCUCCUUCCGCUCCAAGGUUGGAUCCGCCCUCACUGCUGAAGCUUUGGCUUUCGAGAAGCUCUUUGAAGCGCACUGAAGGCGAAUGUGUGUAACCACUCUCCACAUUUACUCAGACUCAAUGGUCUUAGUCUCUACCAUGUGCUCAGGGACCGUUCUGAAUGAAAUCGCGGGCGUCUUAUCAGAUAUUCGAAGCUUUAUGUCUUUCUUUUAGUUUCUAUCUUUAAGUUUAUCUCUAGCUCUGCAAAUAUUGUUGCAGAUGUUUUAGCUAAAGCCGCUCUGGUUUGUUUAACCGUUGUUUCCC